GGCCGGGCCCGCGGCGCGCGAGCCAGCGGCGGAGGAGAACGAAGAUGACAUUCAGUUCGUCGGCGAAGGACUGUCAAGACCAGUUCUUGAGUACAUUGACUUGGUUUGUGGUGGUAAUGAAGAGCCUCACAUCCACCACAGUGAUAAUUGAAUCGUAAUAAAAAACAUUCAUAGAUUUUUGUGACACUUGUUGACUAUAGAAUUUUAAAACUGAUAGAGGAUUUUUCAAGAAAGAGCAAAUCACACUGAAGUUACAGGUAUAAACUGAAAUUCAAGGUAAGUAGAUUAGUUGAAACUUUAUUUCUAAAAUUAUAUAAAGAAAUCAUUUAGAGAA
Molecule: long non-coding RNA, 334 nt
Filed under: Castor canadensis (American beaver)
Lineage: Eukaryota; Metazoa; Chordata; Mammalia; Rodentia; Castoridae
Description: lncRNA (ENSCCNG00000029778.1)
Source: RNAcentral